CCAGGAGAGAAGCGGUGCCUAUUAUGUAUUCCAUUAAUUACAUUGUACUGUAUUACACCUAACUAUUUUUGGGGAAAUUAAUUUUAACCCAUUGUUGUGUUCAAAAUAUAUAUUUACUUUAGUAUAAUUUUUUUUUUAUCUCGCCCUGAAGUUCCAAUGUUUGAGAAUAUAUAGCACUAGUCCUGUACUAAGUUUGGCAUUCAUGAAAUGACAGAAAUAAUCUAAAGUUGUCCUCUUUCAGACUGGGCUAAACCAGUUUCAAAUUGACAUUGUUCCACUAUAUAGUAUUGUAUUUUCUUUCAAAACCAUACUUUGGCCACAACUAAUAUUUCAUGGUGUCCCUUCAUGUGUUGUAUGACUCAACAACCUUAUUUAGGUAUGAAUGGCAUUUAUGAUUAUGGAAUAAUUACUUGAAUAGUUACUUAUUGUUACUAUCUAUCUAUCUAUCUAUCUAUCUAUCUAUCUAUCUACUUGCCUUAAUACAUGUGUCAUUUGUUGAGUUAUAUGUCAUUGGUAAACUUUAUUAUUUAUUAUUUGUAGGUUGUUCUUUCCGGCACCAACUUUUGCCAAAAAUGAAUUAACUGAUUACAAUGGCAUUACUACGCUCUAAGGUUGUUUAACCUAGAUGUUUUUUUGUUUUUUUAAUCUAUGCACUUGGAUAGGACCAUCUGCAAAUUGACUAAAAUAUACAUAUUAAUAUUAUGUGUUGUCAUCUUUUAAUAUAUAUAUAUUAGCCAUCAGGUUGACAACAGUUUAUUUAUAAGCAUACUUCCUUUUCAAAAUGAAUUCAUAGAGUGUAACAAAUUGGAUAAUAGUAAUGUUUAACGAGUGUGGUAAUGAAUAUUAUCUUCCAUAUUUACUAAUACUGCAGUUGGUCAUUAAAGUAAUGGAGACACUUAUCAAGGCAUUUACAGAUAAGUGUUUGAUUAUUUUGUGUCCUCCUAUAAAGUGUGAACCCUAUAUCUAUAAUAAAGAUUCAAUAUUUAUAAAUUACCCAGUGACUACACAAAGUCUGACUACAGUCAUGCAAUACAAAGGGCUGAAAAUGAACGAGUGUGGUAAUGAAUAUUAUCUUCCAUAUUUACUAAUACUGCAGUUGGUCAUUAAAGUAAUGGAGACACUUAUCAAGGCAUUUACAGAUAAGUGUUUGAUUAUUUUGUGUCCUCCUCUAAAGUCUGAACCCUAUAUCUAUAAUAAAGAUUCAAUAUUUAUAAAUUACCCAGUGACUACACAAAGUCUGACUACAGUCAUGCAAUACAAAGGGCUGAAAAUGAAUGAAAACAUACCCGUUUCUGUUGAAGAUAAAAUGUAUAAACACUUAUUAAGUUUUACUAGAAUAUUACAUUCACUAUGUGAUUAAUUAUUUCUUUGUAUUGCUCCAGCAUGUCACUGUUUCAUGAGAGCUCUUUGGUGCCAUUCUGUUUACCUAGUCUAUCCAAUGUUUUUUCACAAUCAUGUUAGACCUUUGAGCACACAGGUGAGGUUGGACAAGUUUCCAAGCCCAUCUACAAUAAUAUGGUUCCCUGUGUAAAGCAAACAAAACAAAAGACAAAGAAAAAAAAAACAAUAGUGGCUUGGUUAUUCCAGUUAAGUAUGGCCACUGGGGUAUCUAUGGGUUCAAGUCCACAAAAAUAUACCAAACGAGCAUGACUGCCUCAUUAAUUUCUAAAAUCAUACAUAAAGACAGGUCUUAAUUUAAUUAAUUUUAUUUGUUAUUAGCUUUAAACUAGACAAGGUAGAGACAUGGGAGUAAAUUUUUCUCUCCCGACUUCUGGAAAUGGCCAUUUCAUUUUUAUUUCCUUCCAAAAAGGGAAGUUAGGAAAGGAAUUAAAGGUAGAGCUGGUGGGGCAGCUGGGGCAGCUGGGGCUGCUGGGGCAGCUAGAGCAGGAAGGCCAGGUAGAGCGGGUAGGGCAGGUAGAGCGGGUAGGGCAGGUAGAGCAGGUGGGGCAGGUAGGGCGGGUAGGGGAGGAAAGGGAGGUAUGGCAGGAAAUGGGGGUAUGGCAGGUAAGGCAGGAAGGGGAGGUAUGGCAGGUGGGGCAGGUAGGGCAGGUAGGGCCGGCAGGGGAGGAAGGGGUGCAGGAACCGGUGCAGAAGCAGCAGUGCGUCUGGCCAAUAGUAAGGGCAGCAGGGCCAUCAGGGUGGUGUCACUCUGGGGAGGCUGGGGGUAGUACUGAGGAUAGGGGUGGAACCCCAUAAAACCCCUAUAUCCCUGUAAUAGGAAGAAAGAUGAGAAUUAAAGUUACUGGAAAGUAGGAAGUAGGAAGCUAAACUAAACGUGCAAGCUGUAUUGUGGGACUAUCAUAGACAGUACCACAUAACAAUCAGUAAUCGGAUAUACUGACCUCAUGACUCGAAGAGCGCUCCUCUCUAUUAUGUUUCUUAGACACCUGCACCCACAAAAAGAAUUCCAGAAUUAAUGUUAUUACGGUACAAAUACAUCCACAUUUAAAGUUGUGAACAAUCAGCCCAUGAUACAUAAGUCAAUUAUUUUCUUAUUUUAAUACGAAGAAAUUGAUGGAAUAUGUAGAAUGUCUUGAACUAUGGAUUUGUAAAGAGCAGGACAAAUUUUGUUAUUCUAGAAAACUUACAGGAAUGGAGGAACACAGGCACAUCACUAGGCACAUCACUAGAACUUGUAGUUUCAUGGUUGCCAGGACUUCUUUAAAUUAAGAAGACAUUAUUUUUAAAUCUACUGUAGACAUGAAUACCACAUUUUACAGUAGAGUGUACUAUGAAACUCUUACCUGUUCAAGUGAAGAUUUAAAAUAGGAAAAAGUUAGUUCUGAAGCUGAGAU
Esox lucius (northern pike) is the source of this 2795-nucleotide long non-coding RNA. The record is from Ensembl. Lineage: Eukaryota; Metazoa; Chordata; Actinopteri; Esociformes; Esocidae.